Molecule: non-coding RNA, 101 nt
Filed under: uncultured Treponema sp.
Lineage: Bacteria; Pseudomonadati; Spirochaetota; Spirochaetia; Treponematales; Treponemataceae
Description: TPP riboswitch (THI element)
Rfam family: TPP riboswitch aptamer (THI element)
About the family: Vitamin B(1) in its active form thiamin pyrophosphate (TPP) is an essential coenzyme that is synthesised by coupling of pyrimidine and thiazole moieties in bacteria.
Source: RNAcentral
ACGCAUGGGGAGCUGGUGUAAGGCCGGCUGAGAGUAGAACACGUUUGUUCUUGACCCAUAAACCUGAUUUGGAUAAUGCCAACGUAGGGAAUAAAAAUUAU